UCUGAGAUGCUGGGCGUGGGGGACUUCUAUUACGAACUAGGUGUCCAAAUUAUCGAAGUGUGCCUGGCGCUGAAGCAUCGGAAUGGAGGUGAGGGUGGCUAGGUCCUGUGAACUGGACUCUGGACUUCUCUGAGAGGGAGAAAACCGUAAAAGAUUAUCGUUUCCAUCCUGCAGUCUACAGGCCUCUAAGGACUUGAGAGACAUCUUAGCUGUUUCAUGCAGUUGAAUCCAUGGCAAGUCUCCAUGGCCAAGGGUCUGAUAACUUUGGAGGAACUACAUCAACAGGUGUUGAAGGGAAGGGGCAAGUUCGCCCAGGAUGUCAGUCAGUAGGUCUUGUCUUCCAAUCCCUUGGAGUACAGAAAGAGGUCUUUAAAAUUCAGAUGGAACUCUUUUCUCUCUAUUCCUCAUGUCUAGGCUAGCUUAGAAAUCUGUAUGAUCUCCAUAUCAUACAGAAA
Molecule: small RNA, 455 nt
Filed under: Pongo abelii (Sumatran orangutan)
Lineage: Eukaryota; Metazoa; Chordata; Mammalia; Primates; Hominidae
Description: retained intron
Source: RNAcentral